This 301-nucleotide ribosomal RNA is filed under the name uncultured bacterium. RNAcentral describes it as "partial 16S ribosomal RNA". It matches the Rfam family "Bacterial small subunit ribosomal RNA", at positions 509 to 807 of the family's 1533-position model. The record is from RNAcentral.
CAGUAGCCGCGGGAAAACGUAGGGUGCAAGCGUUAAUCGGAAUUACUGGGCGUAAAGCGUGCGCAGGCGGUUGUGUAAGUCUGAUGUGAAAGCCCCGGGCUCAACCUGGGAACUGCAUUGGAGACUGCACGGCUAGAGUGCGUCAGAGGGGGGUAGAAUUCCGCGUGUAGCAGUGAAAUGCGUAGAGAUGCGGAGGAAUACCGAUGGCGAAGGCAGCCCCCUGGGAUGACACUGACGCUCAUGCACGAAAGCGUGGGGAGCAAACAGGAUUAGAUACCCCCGUAGUCCCUGUCUCUUAUAC